UAGGGAAUCUUCCACAAUGGACGCAAGUCUGAUGGAGCAACGCCGCGUGAGUGAAGAAGGUCUUCGGAUCGUAAAACUCUGUUGUUAGAGAAGAACACGAGUGAGAGUAACUGUUCAUUCGAUGACGGUAUCUAACCAGCAAGUCAUGGCUAACUACGUGCCAA
Molecule: ribosomal RNA, 164 nt
Filed under: uncultured bacterium
Lineage: Bacteria
Description: partial 16S rRNA
Rfam family: Bacterial small subunit ribosomal RNA
Source: RNAcentral